This 420-nucleotide ribosomal RNA is filed under the name uncultured bacterium. RNAcentral's name for it is "bacterial SSU rRNA". It matches the Rfam family "Bacterial small subunit ribosomal RNA", at positions 356 to 773 of the family's 1533-position model. The record is from RNAcentral.
GAGGAAUAUUGGUCAAUGGGGGCAACCCUGAACCAGCCAAGUCGCGUGAAGGAUGAAGGUCUUAUGGAUUGUAAACUUCUUUUAUACGGGAAUAAAGUGGGGGACGUGUCCCCCUUUGCAUGUACCGUAUGAAUAAGGAUCGGCUAACUCCGUGCCAGCAGCCGCGGUAAUACGGAGGAUCCGAGCGUUAUCCGGAUUUAUUGGGUUUAAAGGGUGCGCAGGCGGGAUGUUAAGUCGGCGGUGAAAUUUUGCAGCUCAACUGUAAAAGUGCCUUCGAUACUGGCCUCCUUGAGUGUGGAUGAAGUAGGCAGAAUUUGUGGUGUAGCGGUGAAAUGCUUAGAUAUCACGAGGAACUCCGAUUGCGCAGGCAGCUUACUAAACCACAACUGACGCUCAUGCACGAAGGCGUGGGGAUCAAAC